Molecule: ribosomal RNA, 2906 nt
Filed under: Escherichia coli
Lineage: Bacteria; Pseudomonadati; Pseudomonadota; Gammaproteobacteria; Enterobacterales; Enterobacteriaceae
Description: 23S ribosomal RNA
Rfam family: Bacterial large subunit ribosomal RNA
Source: RNAcentral
GGUUAAGCGACUAAGCGUACACGGUGGAUGCCCUGGCAGUCAGAGGCGAUGAAGGACGUGCUAAUCUGCGAUAAGCGUCGGUAAGGUGAUAUGAACCGUUAUAACCGGCGAUUUCCGAAUGGGGAAACCCAGUGUGAUUCGUCACACUAUCAUUAACUGAAUCCAUAGGUUAAUGAGGCGAACCGGGGGAACUGAAACAUCUAAGUACCCCGAGGAAAAGAAAUCAACCGAGAUUCCCCCAGUAGCGGCGAGCGAACGGGGAGGAGCCCAGAGCCUGAAUCAGUGUGUGUGUUAGUGGAAGCGUCUGGAAAGGCGCGCGAUACAGGGUGACAGCCCCGUACACAAAAAUGCACAUGCUGUGAGCUCGAUGAGUAGGGCGGGACACGUGGUAUCCUGUCUGAAUAUGGGGGGACCAUCCUCCAAGGCUAAAUACUCCUGACUGACCGAUAGUGAACCAGUACCGUGAGGGAAAGGCGAAAAGAACCCCGGCGAGGGGAGUGAAAAAGAACCUGAAACCGUGUACGUACAAGCAGUGGGAGCACGCUUAGGCGUGUGACUGCGUACCUUUUGUAUAAUGGGUCAGCGACUUAUAUUCUGUAGCAAGGUUAACCGAAUAGGGGAGCCGAAGGGAAACCGAGUCUUAACUGGGCGUUAAGUUGCAGGGUAUAGACCCGAAACCCGGUGAUCUAGCCAUGGGCAGGUUGAAGGUUGGGUAACACUAACUGGAGGACCGAACCGACUAAUGUUGAAAAAUUAGCGGAUGACUUGUGGCUGGGGGUGAAAGGCCAAUCAAACCGGGAGAUAGCUGGUUCUCCCCGAAAGCUAUUUAGGUAGCGCCUCGUGAAUUCAUCUCCGGGGGUAGAGCACUGUUUCGGCAAGGGGGUCAUCCCGACUUACCAACCCGAUGCAAACUGCGAAUACCGGAGAAUGUUAUCACGGGAGACACACGGCGGGUGCUAACGUCCGUCGUGAAGAGGGAAACAACCCAGACCGCCAGCUAAGGUCCCAAAGUCAUGGUUAAGUGGGAAACGAUGUGGGAAGGCCCAGACAGCCAGGAUGUUGGCUUAGAAGCAGCCAUCAUUUAAAGAAAGCGUAAUAGCUCACUGGUCGAGUCGGCCUGCGCGGAAGAUGUAACGGGGCUAAACCAUGCACCGAAGCUGCGGCAGCGACGCUGAUGCGUUGUUGGGUAGGGGAGCGUUCUGUAAGCCUGUGAAGGUGUGCUGUGAGGCAUGCUGGAGGUAUCAGAAGUGCGAAUGCUGACAUAAGUAACGAUAAAGCGGGUGAAAAGCCCGCUCGCCGGAAGACCAAGGGUUCCUGUCCAACGUUAAUCGGGGCAGGGUGAGUCGACCCCUAAGGCGAGGCCGAAAGGCGUAGUCGAUGGGAAACAGGUUAAUAUUCCUGUACUUGGUGUUACUGCGAAGGGGGGACGGAGAAGGCUAUGUUGGCCGGGCGACGGUUGUCCCGGUUUAAGCGUGUAGGCUGGUUUUCCAGGCAAAUCCGGAAAAUCAAGGCUGAGGCGUGAUGACGAGGCACUACGGUGCUGAAGCAACAAAUGCCCUGCUUCCAGGAAAAGCCUCUAAGCAUCAGGUAACAUCAAAUCGUACCCCAAACCGACACAGGUGGUCAGGUAGAGAAUACCAAGGCGCUUGAGAGAACUCGGGUGAAGGAACUAGGCAAAAUGGUGCCGUAACUUCGGGAGAAGGCACGCUGAUAUGUAGGUGAAGUCCCUCGCGGAUGGAGCUGAAAUCAGUCGAAGAUACCAGCUGGCUGCAACUGUUUAUUAAAAACACAGCACUGUGCAAACACGAAAGUGGACGUAUACGGUGUGACGCCUGCCCGGUGCCGGAAGGUUAAUUGAUGGGGUUAGCCGCAAGGCGAAGCUCUUGAUCGAAGCCCCGGUAAACGGCGGCCGUAACUAUAACGGUCCUAAGGUAGCGAAAUUCCUUGUCGGGUAAGUUCCGACCUGCACGAAUGGCGUAAUGAUGGCCAGGCUGUCUCCACCCGAGACUCAGUGAAAUUGAACUCGCUGUGAAGAUGCAGUGUACCCGCGGCAAGACGGAAAGACCCCGUGAACCUUUACUAUAGCUUGACACUGAACAUUGAGCCUUGAUGUGUAGGAUAGGUGGGAGGCUUUGAAGUGUGGACGCCAGUCUGCAUGGAGCCGACCUUGAAAUACCACCCUUUAAUGUUUGAUGUUCUAACGUUGACCCGUAAUCCGGGUUGCGGACAGUGUCUGGUGGGUAGUUUGACUGGGGCGGUCUCCUCCUAAAGAGUAACGGAGGAGCACGAAGGUUGGCUAAUCCUGGUCGGACAUCAGGAGGUUAGUGCAAUGGCAUAAGCCAGCUUGACUGCGAGCGUGACGGCGCGAGCAGGUGCGAAAGCAGGUCAUAGUGAUCCGGUGGUUCUGAAUGGAAGGGCCAUCGCUCAACGGAUAAAAGGUACUCCGGGGAUAACAGGCUGAUACCGCCCAAGAGUUCAUAUCGACGGCGGUGUUUGGCACCUCGAUGUCGGCUCAUCACAUCCUGGGGCUGAAGUAGGUCCCAAGGGUAUGGCUGUUCGCCAUUUAAAGUGGUACGCGAGCUGGGUUUAGAACGUCGUGAGACAGUUCGGUCCCUAUCUGCCGUGGGCGCUGGAGAACUGAGGGGGGCUGCUCCUAGUACGAGAGGACCGGAGUGGACGCAUCACUGGUGUUCGGGUUGUCAUGCCAAUGGCACUGCCCGGUAGCUAAAUGCGGAAGAGAUAAGUGCUGAAAGCAUCUAAGCACGAAACUUGCCCCGAGAUGAGUUCUCCCUGACUCCUUGAGAGUCCUGAAGGAACGUUGAAGACGACGACGUUGAUAGGCCGGGUGUGUAAGCGCAGCGAUGCGUUGAGCUAACCGGUACUAAUGAACCGUGAGGCUUAACCUU